AGCCCACAUGAAUCGAAGAAACUG
Molecule: non-coding RNA, 24 nt
Filed under: Arabidopsis thaliana (thale cress)
Lineage: Eukaryota; Viridiplantae; Streptophyta; Magnoliopsida; Brassicales; Brassicaceae
Source: RNAcentral